CAUAUGGAGGAAAUGCCAUGGCAAAGGGUCAUCCCUUUGAGCCGGAUUGAUGAUGAUUUCCCUGAUGAUCAAUCCGGCUGCGGUGCGGUCAUACUCCUCAAU
This 102-nucleotide non-coding RNA is filed under the name unclassified sequences. Its description in RNAcentral is "folP RNA". It matches the Rfam family "folP RNA". The record is from RNAcentral.